This 157-nucleotide non-coding RNA is filed under the name Thermoleophilia bacterium. Its description in RNAcentral is "6S RNA". It matches the Rfam family "6S / SsrS RNA". Rfam says of the family: E. coli 6S RNA was the first non coding RNA to be sequenced, but its function was unknown until recently. It consists of 184 nucleotides that fold into an extended hairpin structure with a large single-stranded internal bulge. The record is from RNAcentral. Lineage: Bacteria; Bacillati; Actinomycetota; Thermoleophilia.
AAAGCUCGACCUUGUUUGUGAUCAGUACGUUUAUUGAGCCAACAUAUUGAGUACGGGAGCUUAGUCUUUCCCAACUGCUUACGGGUAGAUGGGAAGCGGGCACCCACCUGCUGGAGCAGGUUCAAUAAAUAAGCGGACACGGCAAGGUGGAGCUUUG